CAGUCGCCACGGUAAUACAGAGGAUGCAAGCGUUAUCCGGAAUGAUUGGGCGUAAAGCGUCUGUAGGUGGCUUUUCAAGUCCGCCGUCAAAUCCCAGGGCUCAACCCUGGACAGGCGGUGGAAACUACCAAGCUGGAGUACGGUAGGGGCAGAGGGAAUUUCCGGUGGAGCAGUGAAAUGCAUUGAGAUCAGAAAGAACACCAACGGCGAAAGCACUCUGCUGGGCCGACACUGACACUGAGAGACGAAAGCUAGGGGAGCAAAUGGAAUUAGAGACCCCUGUAGUCCCUGUCUCUUAUAC
RNAcentral lists this ribosomal RNA (301 nucleotides) under uncultured bacterium. RNAcentral describes it as "partial 16S ribosomal RNA". It matches the Rfam family "Bacterial small subunit ribosomal RNA", at positions 509 to 807 of the family's 1533-position model. The record is from RNAcentral.